Molecule: RNA transcript, 3283 nt
Organism: Alnus glutinosa
Lineage: Eukaryota; Viridiplantae; Streptophyta; Magnoliopsida; Fagales; Betulaceae
Gene name: probable helicase MAGATAMA 3
Exons: 21
Source: RefSeq, a predicted model, not a curated record
AUGUUAAUCUGUCCAUAUUUUUUCCCUUCCCUCUCCUCAUCUCCUCUCCUCUCCUACGCAGCUCCCUCCGCCCUCACCGCACCUUCGUCCUUCGAACCUCCACCCCAGCCGAACGCCACCACCUGCGACCACCACGAUCCAAAGUCCGGCAAGUCUGCAGCUCUAAAACCGGCACAUACCACCACCAGCGACGCCCACCAGCCAAAAAGGAAAAAUAAUGGUUUUCUGAUUUGCAGUUCCUUGGGUUAGUGAUGCUUUUUGUCUUGAAGUUAUUCCCCACAAGAAAGCGUUUGGUUCACGUUUGGUUCACAAGUUCUUAGAUUUAACCAAAACGACACAGUUGGCUUUAUAAGAAUACCCAAAACAAUCUGAGCCCUCCAUUUUUUCUACAGCAGAUACUGAAGCCAAAUCCAUUAGAAUAAACCCUGUGUUUUGCAAAGCCCCCAUCACUCGGUCUCCAUGGCUGUGGACAGGGAAAAGCUUCAAGAAGAAUCUCCCGUGCUACGUUUCUACAGAAUUGUUCUCGGUUGGGACUACUUCCGCCUCCUCAAGAACUCCUUCGAAAAUAAAGGAAACUUUGGCGAUGGAGCUUCCUCGGGGCUGAGGGAGGUGAAGGACGCGUAUAAGGACGUUGAUGAUUAUAUGUCAACUUUUGAGCCACUUCUAUUCGAGGAAGUCAAAGCUCAGAUUACUCAGAAGAGAGAUGAAGAAGAGGUGACACAAUGGCAUAGCAGGCUGGUGGUGGAAUGCAAUGAGGUUGAUGGAUUUCACUUGCUCGCGGUCACUUAUGCGGCUGACGACACAGAGGAAUCGAUAUCACAGAAUGACCUGUUGCUUCUUUCAAAAGAAAAUUUUCAAGAGGGUACAAGGAUGCCAACAACAUAUGCAUUUGCAUUGGUGGAGAAUUGUCAGAAUAAUUCUUUUAGACUUAGAAUGUAUUUAGCUGGAGAAGUCGAGCAUUCAAAUACAGAUGUAGUUAAAUCUAGUCAGAGGCUGUUAAGUAUGCGGACGGUUAUUACUUCACCGACUAGUGAAGUGGAUAAACUAUUUUACAGUCUAAAGAUCUGCAGUUUAUCAACUAUUGCUCGUGAAUAUGUGGCUCUAUGGUCGAUUGUCUCUCUUCCUUUUAAGGAUUUAAUAUUAUCGGCUGCUGAAAAGAAUAUUGGUUGUGAAAACCAGGCUUGGAAAAUUUCUAAAUCCCUGGAGGAAUAUAUAAAACACAAUCAUAAUGAAUCUCAACAAGAAGCCAUACAGGCUGGUCUAGCACGUAAAGCUUUUGUUCUGAUACAGGGUCCCCCAGGAACAGGAAAAACAAAGACUAUACUUGGGCUUCUAAGUACCAUUUUGCAUGCUUCUCCAGCAAGAGUGCUCUCCAAGGGUGAAUUGCUUGAAAUAAAGCAUAAGACGGAACUAUCCAUGCAGGAAAAAUACAAUUACUGGGCGCGAGCAUCUCCAUGGCUAACUGGUAGUAAUCCUAGAGAUAACAUAAUGCCAAUUGAUGGUGACAAUGGUUUUUUUCCUACUACCGGAAAUGAGUUGAAACCAGAAGUAGUCAAUUCCAGUCGUAAAUAUCGUGUACGUGUGCUUGUAUGCGCCCCAUCAAACUCUGCUCUGGAUGAGAUUGUCCUGCGCGUUUUAAAUACAGGUGUUCGUGAUGAAAAUGACCGCGCAUAUAAUCCUAAAAUUGUGCGGAUUGGUCUUAAGGAGCAUCAUUCUGUUCGGGCAGUAUCCAUGGACUACCUUGUGAAACAAAAGCAGGAAAGCAUGAAUGCUGAUAAAGAGAAACAUGGAGGUCCAGGAAGAGAUAAGGACAGUAUCCGUGCGGCAAUUUUGGACGAGGCUGUGAUUGUCUUUUCCACCCUUAGCUUCAGUGGUUCAACUCUUUUCAGUAAAUGGAAUCGUGGGUUUGAUGUUGUUAUAAUAGAUGAAGCAGCACAAGCUGUGGAACCAGCCACUCUUAUUCCGUUGGCCAAUGGAUGCAAACAAGUGUUUCUGGUUGGCGAUCCAGUUCAACUGCCAGCAACUGUAAUUUCUCCUGCUGCCGAGAAAUUUGGAUAUGGGACGAGUUUGUUUAAGAGAUUACAGCGGGCUGGUUAUCCAGUGACGAUGCUGAAGACACAGUACCGAAUGCAUCCAGAGAUAAGAAGCUUUCCUUCAAGGGAGUUUUAUGCAGAGUCAUUGGAGGAUGGGCCUAAUAUUGAAGUGCAUACAAGCCGUUCUUGGCAUGAAUACCACUGCUUUGGACCAUUUUGCUUUUUUGAUUUGCAUGAAGGGAAAGAAUCCAAGCUCUCAGGGAGUGAGUCUUGGGUAAAUGUUGAUGAGGUUGAGUUUGUUCUCCUCAUGUAUCAUAAGUUGGUGAGCAUGUAUCCAGAGCUCAAGUCAAGUUCUCAGCUUGCAAUUAUAUCGCCCUAUAGCCAACAAGUAAAGCUCCUCAGAGACCGUUUUAAGAAUACCUUUGGAGUGGAUUCAAAUAAAGUGGUUGAUAUUACUACUGUCGAUGGUUGCCAGGGACGUGAGAAGGAUGUUGCAAUAUUUUCAUGUGUUAGGGCAAGCAAAGAUAAAAGCAUUGGGUUUCUUGCUGAUUUUCGGCGAAUGAAUGUCGGGAUCACCAGAGCAAAGUCUUCUGUCCUGGUGGUAGGGUCUUCAACAACGUUGAGGAGGGAUGAGCACUGGAAUAACCUUGUGGAAAGUGCUGAGAAGAGAAAUUGUUUUAUUAAGGUUUCCAAGCCCUAUACCUCAUUUUUCACCUAUGGAAAUCUGGAUUCUAUGAAAGUGAAGAAUGUUGAACCCGGGGAGACAGGACAGGAUGAUGAGGAUGUAACCCUUCAUGAUAAUCCUGGGGAUGCUGACCAGAGGCUGGCAGAUGACCAUGACUAUGGUGAUGGGGAUGGGGAGAUGGAUGAUGGGGGCUUUGAUGAUGAGUAACUCCAAACAUUACUUGGAUUAUCUUACGGAAAUCAAUCACAUUACAAUUUCAGAGCGGCAGCUGUUUUAGUCAAUGCCAAGUCUUCAUUGAUGGCAGUGACGUAUUAGGAGUGUGAUAUGUAGAGGCUUCACAAGACUUGUGUGCUUAACGCAGCAUCCCCUUGAGCCUAUUUAUGCAUUUGUGUAACAUCAAAUUUUGCUCCUUUGAUGCAUCCUUUUUUUUUUUUUUUGGUUCGGCUAUGCUCCUUUCAUAUUAUCCACAAAGUACUUAUCCAAUAUAUAUAAUGCUAGGUUAGGGUUAGAAUGCAUUUCUUGGGUUUUUUACUAAUUAAGAAAAAUAAAAGGGAGUGUUAAUUUA